AUUGAACGCUGGCGGCAUGCCUUACACAUGCAAGUCGAACGGCAGCACGGGAGCAAUCCUGGUGGCGAGUGGCGAACGGGUGAGUAAUAUAUCGGAACGUGCCCAGUCGUGGGGGAUAGCGCAGCGAAAGCUGUGCUAAUACCGCAUACGAUCUAAGGAUGAAAGCGGGGGAUCGCAAGACCUCGCGCGAUUGGAGCGGCCGAUAUCAGAUCAGCUAGUUGGUGGGGUAAAGGCCCAUCAAUGCGACGAUCUGUAGCUGGUCUGCGAGGACGGCCAGCCAGACUGGAACUGAGGCACGGUCCAGACUCCUACGGGAGGCAGAAGUGGGGAAUUUUGGACAGUGGGCGCAAGCCUGAUCCAGCAAUGCCGCGUGCAGGAUGAAGGCCUUCGGGUUGUAAACUGCUUUUGUACGGAACGAAACGGCCCUUUCUAAUACAGGGGGCUAAUGACGGUACCGUAAGAAUAAGCACCGGCUAACUACGUGCCAGCCGCCGUAAUAC
RNAcentral lists this ribosomal RNA (500 nucleotides) under uncultured bacterium. RNAcentral's name for it is "partial 16S ribosomal RNA". It matches the Rfam family "Bacterial small subunit ribosomal RNA", at positions 30 to 526 of the family's 1533-position model. The record is from RNAcentral.